Molecule: ribosomal RNA, 296 nt
Filed under: Escherichia coli
Lineage: Bacteria; Pseudomonadati; Pseudomonadota; Gammaproteobacteria; Enterobacterales; Enterobacteriaceae
Description: partial 16S ribosomal RNA
Rfam family: Bacterial small subunit ribosomal RNA
Source: RNAcentral
CUGAGAGGAUGACCAGCCACACUGGAACUGAGACACGGUCCAGACUCCUACGGGAGGCAGCAGUGGGGAAUAUUGCACAAUGGGCGCAAGCCUGAUGCAGCCAUGCCGCGUGUAUGAAGAAGGCCUUCGGGUUGUAAAGUACUUUCAGCGGGGAGGAAGGGAGUAAAGUUAAUACCUUUGCUCAUUGACGUUACCCGCAGAAGAAGCACCGGCUAACUCCGUGCCAGCAGCCGCGGUAAUACGGAGGGUGCAAGCGUUAAUCGGAAUUACUGGGCGUAAAGCGCACGCAGGCGGUU